AAAUAGAAAUGCCGGGAUCUCUCCUUUCAAGUUUUCCACACAUGUUAAUUUCCUUUUGCUGAAAGGAAAAAUACUUGAUUCUAAUUUAUUUGUAGGCCUGAAAUGAGAUUUUUCCUCAAUUGGAAGAUGUGACGUGCCGUGUACUCUAAAUGAGAGAAGGGUUGGGAAAAUGUAAGCAGGAAACUUUAACUGCAGAAGUAAAAGGAAUUACUUAAGCGAAAGCCAAUCUGAAAAGGCUGCAUACUGUAUGAUUCCCACUAUAUGACAGUCUGGAAAAGGCGAGACUAUGGAGAAGGGGGAAAAAAAGUCAGCAGCUGCCAGAUGUUGUGGGAAUGGGGGAUGAAUAGGUGGAGCAAAGUGGAUUUUUAGGGCAGUGAAAAUCCUCCUUGUGACACUAUCAUGGUGGAUGUGUGGCGUUAUGCAUUAGUUCAAAUCCACAGAAUGUACAAGAGUGAACCCUCAUGUCAGCUGCGGCUCCUGGGUGAUAAGAUUCCCAUGCUAGGAGGAUGCUGUCGGGAAUAUGGGGAAUCUCUGCGCCUUCCUCUCUAUUUUGCUGUGAACCUAAAACUGCUCUAAAAAAAAAAAAAAAAGUCUAUUUAAAAAAAUAAAAAAGCAAAAUGAAAAUGCAAGCUUGGUUUUGAGGGCAUAUUAUUUAGAACUCUGCUGCGUGCAAGUAACAGAAGUUUUUAGCUCACUGAGUCUCAGAAGGACGUUAUAGGUCAUAGGUGCCUCGGGAACCAUGAUUACAGCUGCUGGGAGGAGGCUGCAGUGAGGUGGAAGGCAGAAUCCCGGUGGCCUCUCUCUCCCCAGCUCCCCUGUUUACACAGGAUCCUCUCCCGCUUUCCAUAGACACUGUUUGCCCUUUCUCUACCCCAAUCCUAAAUUCCUGGGCCAGGGGACGCUGGUGGCGCAGUGCUUGGGGCAGCUCCCAGCCCCAGCAACUCUGGUCACGGGGGUGGAGGUGCGGGUAUGGUUCCAUGGAAGUUGCCAGCAGAAAUCUCAAGGAAGUGAAUGGUGUGUCUUGGGUCAGCAAAAAUCCCAUGAUGGUACCAGAACCUCCCUACCAAGGAGGAUGUUCUCAUAGAUUCCCAGAGACAAGAUGAUGGUAAUCUUAAAAUACUCGACAGAUGAAAGAGGAAGCAAAACCACUCCUUCUGUCUGAGAGAAUUGUGCAAUGAUGGCCAAAAGCAGUCCUCUGCAAUUUCUUUGGGAGGUGACAAAGGAACAGAAGGCACUGGGGGAACCAAUGGGCAAAUUAGUUUAAUUAGUCAAAUUAACUUAAUUAGCAAAAAUAAUUCUCUUUGGAGCAGGCUUUGAAUAAAUCUGUGAUAAUUUUGUGAUUCUGUGAAUUUUCUGGAAUAUGUGUAUGUGUGCAUGUUGGGUGCAUGCUCAUGUGCAAUCAUUCGUGUGCAUGUGUGUGCCUGAAUGCAUGGGGGUGGACCCAGGUUUUGUGGUCCCUGAAGAUUAUACAAUUUUGAAUCACCCUUUAAAAAAAGGAACUCAGGCCGGGUGCAGUGGUUCAUGCCUGUAAUCCCAGCACUUUGGGAGGCUGAGGCAGGAGGAUUGCUUGACCCCAGGAGUUCAAGACCAGCCUGGGCAAAAUAGCGAGAUUUCAUCUCUAUUUAAAAGAAAAAAAAUUUUUAACAAAAAUGUUUUUAAAACCACAAAACGUGAAUCCAAAAUUAGGUAGGAGAGGGAGGCCUAUUUAGGUUUAGGAAGAAAACACAAUUCACAAUAUUUUCUUCUUUUUUUUUUUUUUUUUUUUUGAGACAGAGUUUCGCUCUUGUUACCCAGGCUGGAGUGCAAUGGCGCGAUCUCGGCUCAUCGCAACCUCCGCCUCCUGGGUUCAGGCAAUUCUCCAGCCUCAGCCUCCCGAGUAGCUGGGAUUACAGGCGCGCACCACCAUGCCCAGCUAAUUUUUUGUAUUUUUAGUAGAGACGGGGUUUCACCUUGUUGACCAGGAUGGUCUCGAUCUCUUGACCUCGUGAUCCACCCGCCUUGGCCUCCCAAAGUGCUGGGAUUAUAGGCGUGAGCCACCGCACCCGGCCCACAAUAUUUUCAAAGCUGAAGAAUAUCUCCAAUUUCAUGUAAUUCAGGAAACUAACAAAGUUGUGUUUAACUGCUUAACAAACCUCGAUGGCACUUCUUCCUCCUAUAACUUUUGGCUGCAUACUCUUGGAUCAUCUUUUUUUUUCUUUUUUCUCUCCCCCUGCCCCCUCCACCUUUUAAUAUGGCCACAAUUUUAUAAUAUUUUCUAGGGAGAGGAUAGAAAGAUAGUUCAGUUUUUACACUUCAUCUUAGCCAAAAGGCCGAGAAGUAAUG
Long non-coding RNA from Callithrix jacchus (white-tufted-ear marmoset), 2322 nucleotides. Lineage: Eukaryota; Metazoa; Chordata; Mammalia; Primates; Cebidae. The record is from Ensembl.